This 343-nucleotide small nuclear RNA is filed under the name Notechis scutatus (mainland tiger snake). RNAcentral's name for it is "7SK RNA (ENSNSUG00000009444.1)". The stretch from base 1 to 295 matches the Rfam family "7SK RNA". From Rfam's summary of the family: 7SK was discovered as an abundant small nuclear RNA in the mid-70s but a possible function has only recently been suggested. Two independent studies have found that 7SK RNA binds the CDK9/cyclin T complex (known as elongation factor P-TEFb). P-TEFb activates transcription by phosphorylating the C-terminal domain of RNA polymerase II. The record is from RNAcentral. Lineage: Eukaryota; Metazoa; Chordata; Lepidosauria; Squamata; Elapidae.
GGAUGUGAGAGCAAUCUGGCUGCGACAUCUGUCACCCCACUGAUCACCAGGGUUGAUUCAGCUGAUCUGGCUGACUAGGCAAAUGUCCCCUUCCUCCCUCGCUGCUCCAUGUGCAUCCCUUCCAAAGCUGUGCACUCAGUGGAAGAAGACGACCAUCCCAGAUAGGAGUGUAUUGAUCUUUGGUCAAGGGUGUAUGAUAGCUGCACUCCCCUACUAGAACCUCCAAACAAGCUCAAAGUCCAUUCAAUAAUUGUUCAAAAUUAUGAUGUUGCUGAAAAAUGGACCCAUGACCUGUGCCCAAAAAAAAAGAAUGGAGUCUACUCACUUUAGAAACCCCAUUCCU